Molecule: ribosomal RNA, 253 nt
Filed under: uncultured bacterium
Lineage: Bacteria
Description: partial 16S ribosomal RNA
Rfam family: Bacterial small subunit ribosomal RNA
Source: RNAcentral
UACGGAGGGUGCAAGCGUUACUCGGAAUUACUGGGCGUAAAGCGCGUGUAGGUGGUUUCGUAAGUCUGGUGUGAAAUCCCGGGGCUCAACCCCGGAAGUGCAUUGGAUACUGCGAGACUAGAGUGCAGGAGAGGAUGGCGGAGUUCCAGGUGUAGAGGUGAAAUUCGUAGAUAUCUGGAGGAACAUCGGAGGCGAAGGCGGCCAUCUGGACUGCAACUGACACUGAGACGCGAAAGCGUGGGGAGCAAACAGG